This is an RNA transcript of Athalia rosae (coleseed sawfly), 3880 nucleotides long. RefSeq lists it as uncharacterized. Lineage: Eukaryota; Metazoa; Arthropoda; Insecta; Hymenoptera; Athaliidae. The record is from RefSeq and is a predicted model, not a curated record. The transcript has 4 exons.
AAAGUUCCUCCUUUGGAAGUUAUAGUAGAACUUGUAACGCAAAAUUAACUCGUAACGACCGCUAACGCGUCGCCAAAACAAAUCGUGAAUAUCAACGUCGAAUAUAGACACGCGAAAUGUACUCAAAGCUAUUCGCUUAACGUCCAACCGAUAAUAUCGCCGCAAAUUAGUAUUGUCAGUUGUUACGAUGUGAAAACUACGUCAAUUUUUAUUUGCACUUUGGUAUACAAAUAUCAUUCGGUCGUGGUACAAAAAUAUCUGACCGUCCAACGAAUUAUGCUUUCGUAGAUGUCCACACUUGUUCCAUAAAUACUGACAAUGAGCGAUUAUUUGGUACCGGACAAACCAUCCUCUCCAUCCGAUUUAGUUCCCACCGAGCGACGAUAACGCGUGUAAAUCGAUGUCCAGAAAAGCACCCGCGACAAGUUCCCCGCGUAAAAAACUUGCGAUAGAAAAUUUCAAAAAUAUCACAGACACUUUCGGACUGAAAAAUUAUUCGCCUGUUCCUCGUACGUGGAAUGUUAGGACGAAACUUUAAAGAUUUCGAAUAUCAAUGCCCAGGUUACCUAACCGGGGACGGAACUAUGUGCAAACUAAAAAUAACAGCGCUGCGGUUCGUAGACUGAAUGUUUGUGCGCAAAAUACGAAUACGUCAGAUUUUCCAGGGGGUAAGCGCUAGCGGAGUAACGAUGAAAUAAUGAUCGUUGCGAUUUUUUUCCACCGUCCAACGUACUCGUGCGUUUGGGAAGAAAAAAAAGGUUGAAAUCUGAAUCAAGGUGCUUCCUCGAGGAUGAUAAUUACUCGAGUCAUCACGUGGAAUCUAAUUGCGAGAAGUUGUACGGACGAAAUGAAAUUCCCACGUGACGAUCGUCGCGUUUAUACGUACUCGAAACAAAAGUGUAACGAGCAAAAUCCAACGUUACCUGCCGGACUGUGCGGUGUAGUAGUUGAUUCGUCCAAGGCCACGCGUCGUACCGAGAAUAAUUUCCGGGUGGGAGAAUUUAGCGCAUGUCCUCAUGCAGAUAUUUACCCGUGAUUAGAACUCGGCGUUCGUCGUAGAUAUAAGUUGCCGAGAAACUAGUAUCUGUAUAAUCAGCAUUGUUUGCCAUUCUUCUUACGAUGUACAACGCCGAGGGAGCGAGUGCCACCACAAAUAAUGUGACAGAAAUUGAAGCGAGAAAAAUAUCACCCAUUGUCAGACGUAAAUUCCACCGGACGUAGAUAUCAAUCUCAUAUAAUUCGAUUAUCUAGCGCAAUUAGUUUUACCCGGAUAAACGCUAGCCUGACUGCAUGCUAGUGUCCAUGAAUAUAAACUUCUAUAUAUAACGGAUGUUCUUGCGAUUUUCUUUUUAUAAUUAUACAAAGUGUUAAAUAUGAUACCGAUCAAUCAGAACGUUCGGAUGAUAUAUAAAUCUUUGGAUUUUCCUCGUUUGUUCAAAUGCCGUAGACGGCGUAUAAAAAGACUGGACAACUAUUUCCAAUCGGUGUUACGUAACACGUAACCCGAUGACCGCACCUGCGAUGUCCUUCGACGUUUUCCUCAAAGUAAAAUAAAAUUAAAAAUGAAUGAAAAAAAGUAGGAAUAAAAAUAUUCGAAACGGACGCGAGACGUCCGAGUCUGUGUACGAUAAAUUAUUCACUGAAUACCGAAUACUUAUAGAUAACAUACUAACAUAAGAUAUAUGACAUAUGGAAUGAAAAUAUUGAUUGCUGCAGAAUUUAAAUUGGUUUAAAAAUCCUUGAGGCGACAAAUACAGGUGCCCUGUACCCAGCCGUGCGACAAAUCAUAUUCCUCGUGUGAGCGAGUAUAUAAUGAUACACUCGGUGACCAUCGAGUAUCAAAUUAUAAACGCGGACAAGCCCUAGUAAGGAAAAUCAUACGCGACGGAAGAUACACCUGCGUAGAAAAUAUAUAUACAUAUAUAUAAGUACAUGAAUCCAACGACGCAUCGUGUGGCUUUGGGAUAUUUUCAUUCGUUGAACGCAGAACGUGCACAUGGUAUUGCGGUUCAUUUACGCAUCAGGUGGAACUCUGACCCUCUAAUUAUCCGUGCAACGAUGUGAAGUAACUCGCCAUUCCACAUCGGAACCAUGUAGGUAACGCGCAGAAUCAACCUCAACCUUGUCGAUAAACCUGUUCAAAAUUUCGGGCCAACGGCAAAGAUAUACUGCAAGCGCGUACGCGAUGCGGAGCGCGUGGAGGAAGUAUGAGAACAUGUCGGUUUAGCAUUGGACGUUGUAACCGGAUACGGAAAUUCAUUUACGGUUUUCAAGCGGAUUUAAGCUACAGUGAUAUAACAUCAGUCUCUGCAAGUGUUUUGCAUCUGAUACGAGCCAGGUGAAUGAUUACGCGACGUAAUGAGCAAAAAUGUAAGCCGAUCGGUGGACAACGAUCGGGUAGCAUUGGCCUUGGAGGACGGCCGACCUCAAAGUAAAACUCGGGAAGGUUGCUGAGUUACGUUCGGAUGCAACCAAACCGUCUACGACUUACGACCGCUAGGCUCGUCAUACUUAUACUAUACCCAAGGAAGUUGGCUGCCGAUCCAACAAACGUAACUUGACGUAUAUUAUAUUAUAUACGUCCCUACGAGAGGACGUGAUCGAAGGAUUAAUUUAUUCGGCGGUUAUGCGUAUGAAAAAUGUUUUUUUGCCUAAAGCUAAUGUCAUCGAAUAUCAUUAUAUCCGUGAAAUAUUCUAGUUUGCAGUUAAUGAAAACAUAAAAGUUUUUACGACCCGAACCGCUACGAAUUUCACAUCAUGUUUUACAUGGUUAAAGCAUAAUUGAGUUCGCAUGGUCACCGAGUUGACGAAUCCUUGACCUAUGAAUCGUCGAAAAUCUGGUUAUGAUCGAUCCACCACGAGAUAAAAAGAAAAUUGCAAAAUUUUCCAAUCGCUUUUUCGAAAGCACACAGCGUUGUAGCGAGAAGAAUUUUUAAUCAAAUUACGAGUUAAACGACAUCGUCGAAGAUGCCUGCGUUCUUCCAUACACUGACGCGUUUACGUCAGAUAAUUAAAAUUCGUAUUGUAUAAUCACGAAAAAACACAUGCGAGCCGAUAUGUUUGCUGUGAGCUAAUUCUUUGUUUAACAAAACACACGUGACCAUUAAGAGGUCAAACUGAAUCAUCUUAUUAUUCAUCGGUAUCGGUACAGCGAAAUAACGACGAUGAUAAAACCUUAUUAGUCGGUCUUCUUCGACACUUGCGUUCGCAAUUCGUUCGUUUCGUAUUAGUCUCUAAGCACGCUCGAGUGUGUAACAGUUGAGUAAUAAUGGAUGACGGAUAAUAUACGCCGUCGAGUGUGUAAUCAAUACAGAUCUCUGCGCGGUAAUUAAUAUCGUAAUUCAAGAUAUCCAUCUGUUAAAUGUUGUAAUAAUCGUUGACGCGAUGGAAGAAUAACUCAAGAAACGGGAACGCUACGGUUACAAAAUCAUCAGAAAAUUCAUCAGACGACACGAACGGAAUCUUUCGCGGAAAUUCGACAAAUCUAUAUUUCCUCUCGACAUCACAUCGUGGAUCAUCGUAUACGAACUGUCACCAACACUAUAUUCUCCGCUAUAAUGUGAGCGGUGCAAGUACAACGCGAAGUCAACCGAUAUCCUAACGACCUUCAAGCCCCAUUCGUCACGAUCGUACUUAGUCGAACCGCAGGGGCCGGAAAAUGUAUUGCUAAAGCAGAAAGUAAUACCAGAAGCCUGCAAUAUGGGAUCAACUGGAUAACGUUUUGCUACACGUGACGCUGAACUGCAAUUGAAAACAUCGAUGUGAAAUCCUGUAGUCGCACAUCUGAAUCGUUCGUUCCUCACAGGACGGCUUAAAUACGUAUUAUACUUAUUACCGUUAAUUGUAUAACAAGUUUACGAUAAAAUUAUCGCCUAGCUCA